UGGGGAAUAUUGCACAAUGGAGGGAACUCUGAUGCAGCGACGCCGCGUGAGUGAUGAAGGAAUUCGUUUCGUAAAACUCUGUUCUAUGGGAAGAAAAGGACUGUACCAUAGGAGAAAGCUCCGGCUAAAUACGUGCCAGCAGCCGCGGUAAUACGUAUGGAGCGAGCGUUGUCCGGAAUUAUUGGGCGUAAAGGGUGCGCAGGCGGCUUUACAAGUUGGAUGUGAAAUAUUGUGGCUCAACCACAAACGUGCAUCCAAAACUGCAAAGCUUGAGUUAAGGAGAGGUAAGUGUGAUUCCUGGUGUAGCGGUGGAAUGCGUAGAUAUCAGGGGGAAUACCGGUGGCGAGGACGACUUACUGGGCUUAAACUGACGCUCAGGCACGAAAGCGUGGGGAGCAAACAGG
This 404-nucleotide ribosomal RNA is filed under the name Fusobacteriota bacterium. Its description in RNAcentral is "Fusobacteria bacterium partial 16S ribosomal RNA". It matches the Rfam family "Bacterial small subunit ribosomal RNA", at positions 355 to 776 of the family's 1533-position model. The record is from RNAcentral. Lineage: Bacteria; Fusobacteriati; Fusobacteriota.